RNAcentral lists this ribosomal RNA (252 nucleotides) under uncultured Bacteroidales bacterium. RNAcentral describes it as "partial 16S ribosomal RNA". It matches the Rfam family "Bacterial small subunit ribosomal RNA", at positions 524 to 776 of the family's 1533-position model. The record is from RNAcentral. Lineage: Bacteria; Pseudomonadati; Bacteroidota; Bacteroidia; Bacteroidales.
UACGGAGGAUGCGAGCGUUAUCCGGAUUUAUUGGGUUUAAAGGGUGCGUAGGCGGGCAUUUAAGCCGGCGGUCAAAUGUCGGGGCUCAACCCCGGCCUGCCGUCGGAACUGGGUGCCUUGAGUGGGCGAGAAGUAUGCGGAAUGCGUGGUGUAGCGGUGAAAUGCAUAGAUAUCACGCAGAACCCCGAUUGCGAAGGCAGCCUGCUGGACUGUAACUGACGCUGAUGCUCGAAAGUGUGGGUAUCAAACAGG